This 245-nucleotide long non-coding RNA is filed under the name Gossypium raimondii (Peruvian cotton). RNAcentral's name for it is "long non-coding RNA (GRAI_LNC010183)". Lineage: Eukaryota; Viridiplantae; Streptophyta; Magnoliopsida; Malvales; Malvaceae. The record is from RNAcentral.
GGAAAUUCUGGGCAGUAGUAACUCCUUGAAACUUCAUGUUCUUUUUUUUCUUUUUUAAAUUUGACCAAGAAAAACUGUCUCAUGUAAGAUUAGUUGAUUUGGGUUGGUGCCUUAGCAAACCACAGAUUUAUGUUGCAUAUACAUUGUUGAUUCCUUGUUUUUGCCGUGUUUAAUAAGCAAGUAAACACGAUAAAUAUAUAUACCCGAGAACUUGUUGAUAUUUAGGCUUUUUAUGCAUACCUACC